RNAcentral lists this ribosomal RNA (450 nucleotides) under Triticum aestivum (bread wheat). Its description in RNAcentral is "partial small subunit ribosomal RNA". Lineage: Eukaryota; Viridiplantae; Streptophyta; Magnoliopsida; Poales; Poaceae. The record is from RNAcentral.
AUGGAUGGCUUACUACAUUGGGAUUUCUCCCCCGGCCUUGCGGUCGCGGCUCAGGUGCGUCAACGUUUUGGUUCGUCGGUGCACUUCUCCCCCUCUGGUUCGCACAAAGAGUUCUUCUUGGUGGCUCAUUUCUCCUCAGCAAGUUUUCCCCUCAAUGAAGACUCUGUGGCCAUUGCUUUACAAUGUUGCAUUGGGGGGAACCCUUUGGGUCUCAAGGUUUUACACCUCUCUGGAAGAAGAUAUAGGUUCUCUGUGGCCUCCAAUAAGGUUGGACAUUACGUUUAUGGUCUCAAGGACAGAAUCUGGCCUGACUUUGUGUGCCAUUUUAAUCUAUUUAGGCCCAAUUAUAAUGGCCAUUUGGUACCUGAUACUUUGUGGGAUCUUGAUGAUCAUAUCACUGAUGUGGCUGCUCGCUCACGAUGGCUAUUAAAUCCAAAUAUAAGUUCAUAG